This 253-nucleotide ribosomal RNA is filed under the name uncultured bacterium. RNAcentral describes it as "partial 16S ribosomal RNA". It matches the Rfam family "Bacterial small subunit ribosomal RNA", at positions 524 to 776 of the family's 1533-position model. The record is from RNAcentral.
UACGGAGGGUGCAAGCGUUAUCCGGAUUCACUGGGUUUAAAGGGUGCGUAGGUGGGUCUGUAAGUCAGUGGUGAAAUCUCCGAGCUUAACUCGGAAACUGCCAUUGAUACUAUAGAUCUUGAAUUUUCUGGAGGUAAGCGGAAUAUGUCAUGUAGCGGUGAAAUGCUUAGAUAUGACAUAGAACACCAAUUGCGAAGGCAGCUUACUACAGGAACAUUGACACUGAGGCACGAAAGCGUGGGGAUCAAACAGG